RNAcentral lists this ribosomal RNA (2878 nucleotides) under Alteromonas mediterranea DE1. Its description in RNAcentral is "bacterial LSU rRNA". It matches the Rfam family "Bacterial large subunit ribosomal RNA". Lineage: Bacteria; Pseudomonadati; Pseudomonadota; Gammaproteobacteria; Alteromonadales; Alteromonadaceae. The record is from RNAcentral.
AUGGUUAAGUGACGAAGCGUAUACGGUGGAUGCCUUGGCAGUUAGAGGCGAUGAAGGACGUGUAAGUCUGCGAAAAGCUGUGGUGAGCCGACAAAAUGCAUUUGAGCCACAGAUGUCCGAAUGGGGAAACCCACCUGUUUACAGGUAUCGUUACAUGAAUACAUAGCGUAACGAGGCGAACGAGGGGAACUGAAACAUCUAAGUACCCUUAGGAAAAGAAAUCAAACGAGAUUCCCCUAGUAGCGGCGAGCGAACGGGGAACAGCCCUUAAGCUGUUUAGUGUGUAGUGGAAUCCUUUGGGAAGAGGAGCGAUACAGGGUGAUAGCCCCGUACACAAAGCGUGCUUUACAGUGAAAUCGAGUAGGUCGGGACACGUGUUAUCUUGACUGAAUAUGGGGGGACCAUCCUCCAAGGCUAAAUACUCCUAACUGACCGAUAGUGAACCAGUACCGUGAGGGAAAGGCGAAAAGAACCCCUGUGAGGGGAGUGAAAUAGAACCUGAAACCGUAUACGUACAAGCAGUGGGAGCCCUUCGGGGUGACUGCGUACCUUUUGUAUAAUGGGUCAGCGACUUAUAUUUAGUAGCAAGGUUAAGCGAAUAGCGGAGCCGUAGCGAAAGCGAGUGUUAACUGCGCGUUUAGUUGCUAGGUAUAGACCCGAAACCCGGUGAUCUAGCCAUGAGCAGGUUGAAGGUUGAGUAACAUCAACUGGAGGACCGAACCCACUGACGUUGAAAAGUCAGGGGAUGACUUGUGGCUGGGGGUGAAAGGCCAAUCAAACCGGGAGAUAGCUGGUUCUCCCCGAAAUCUAUUUAGGUAGAGCCUCGGACGAAUUCCAUUGGGGGUAGAGCACUGUUAAGGCUAGGGGGUCAUCCCGACUUACCAACCCUUUGCAAACUCCGAAUACCAAUGAGAACUAUCCGGGAGACACACGGCGGGUGCUAACGUCCGUCGUGGAGAGGGAAACAACCCAGACCGCCAGCUAAGGUCCCAAAAUAUUGCUAAGUGGGAAACGAUGUGGGAAGGCACAGACAGCUAGGAGGUUGGCUUAGAAGCAGCCACCCUUUAAAGAAAGCGUAAUAGCUCACUAGUCGAGUCGGCCUGCGCGGAAGAUGUAACGGGGCUAAGCAAUAUACCGAAGCUGCGGCAGCAUGUUUACAUGCUGGGUAGGGGAGCGUUGUGUAAGUGGAUGAAGGUGAGUUGUAAAGCUUGCUGGACAUAUCACAAGUGCGAAUGCUGACAUGAGUAACGAUAAUGGGAGUGAAAAACUCCCACGCCGGAAGACCAAGGUUUCCUGUCCCAUGCUAAUCAGGGCAGGGUAAGUCGGCCCCUAAGGCGAGGCAGAAAUGCGUAGUCGAUGGGAAACGGAUUAAUAUUUCCGUACUUAUAUAAUCAGUGAUGGAGGGACGGAGAAGGCUAGGCAAGCUUGGCGUUGGUUGUCCAAGUGAAAGCGAGUAGGCCGAGAAUUUAGGUAAAUCCGGAUUCUUAAAGCUGAGACGCGAGACGAGCUCCCAAGGGAGUGAAGUUGUUGAUGCCCUGCUUCCAGGAAAAGCUUCUAAACUUAUGAUUAUAUGAACCGUACCCCAAACCGACACAGGUGGUCAGGUAGAGAAUACUAAGGCGCUUGAGAGAACUCGGGUGAAGGAACUCGGCAAAAUUGUACCGUAACUUCGGGAGAAGGUACGCCUCUGUUUGUGAACACUUCGCGUGGUAAGCAAAUGGAGGCCGCAGUGACCAGGUGGCUGGGACUGUUUAUUAAAAACACAGCACUCUGCAAACUCGUAAGAGGACGUAUAGGGUGUGACACCUGCCCGGUGCCGGAAGGUUAAUUGAUGGGGUUAGUCCUCGGACGAAGCUCUUGAUCGAAGCCCCGGUAAACGGCGGCCGUAACUAUAACGGUCCUAAGGUAGCGAAAUUCCUUGUCGGGUAAGUUCCGACCUGCACGAAUGGUGUAACCAUGGCCACGCUGUCUCCACCCGAGACUCAGUGAAAUUGAAAUCGCAGUGAAGAUGCUGUGUACCCGCACCUAGACGGAAAGACCCCGUGAACCUUUACUACAGCUUGGCACUGAACAUUGAACCUACAUGUGUAGGAUAGGUGGGAGGCUUUGAAGCACAGUCGCUAGAUUGUGUGGAGCCGUCCUUGAAAUACCACCCUUGUAUGUUUGAUGUUCUAACAUUGGCCCCUUAUCGGGGUUGUGGACAGUGUCUGGUGGGUAGUUUGACUGGGGCGGUCUCCUCCCAAAUAGUAACGGAGGAGCACGAAGGUUAGCUAAUCACGGUCGGACAUCGUGAGGUUAGUGCAAUGGCAUAAGCUAGCUUAACUGCGAGACAGACACGUCGAGCAGGUACGAAAGUAGGUCAUAGUGAUCCGGUGGUUCUGUAUGGAAGGGCCAUCGCUCAACGGAUAAAAGGUACUCCGGGGAUAACAGGCUGAUACCGCCCAAGAGUUCAUAUCGACGGCGGUGUUUGGCACCUCGAUGUCGGCUCAUCACAUCCUGGGGCUGAAGUCGGUCCCAAGGGUAUGGCUGUUCGCCAUUUAAAGUGGUACGCGAGCUGGGUUUAGAACGUCGUGAGACAGUUCGGUCCCUAUCUGGUGUGGGCGUUGGAUGAUUGAUGGGAGCUGCUCCUAGUACGAGAGGACCGGAGUGGACGAACCGCUGGUGUUCGGGUUGUCAUGCCAAUGGCAUUGCCCGGUAGCUAUGUUCGGAACGGAUAACCGCUGAAAGCAUCUAAGCGGGAAGCCGGCCCAAAGAUGAGUCAUCCCUGACCUUUAAGGUCUGGAAGGGUUGUUAUAGACGAUGACGUUGAUAGGCAGGGUGUGGAAGCGUUGUAAGGCGUUAAGCUAACCUGUACUAAUUGCCCGAGAGGCUUAACCAU